UGAGAACUACAUACUGUCUGAACUUUUAUUGGGACCCUUUUUUCUAAACAGGCUAACAACUUAAAUACCUCAGGAAGACUAAAGAAUACAGUAUGCAUUUCAAUGGAGAUCAAAGGUAGUUUUACAAUGAAGUCAAAUGAACAGAUGGGCCGGUAUAAUUUGGUAAGGAAUUGACCAACAAGCAAGAAGAACAGAGACACUGUUUCCCUAGCGGCUUUUCUCCUGUACUUCAUUCUAAGACUUCCCGCUUCCUGGUGUUCGCACAUGGAGACCUGCCACGGGGGCCCUGAGGAUCCUGGGCCAAGAGGUUCAGGAUGUUGUUCUCUGAGGAAUAGCCCAGAAGUCAGCAACUCAGCUUUCCAACAUGAGAUUCGGUGCCCCAGACCUCUGGGGCACCAGUAACUAAGGACUUUGAGAAAACCACCUGCUGUCUCCCAAGAAGCCAAGCAGGACAUUUUAAGACAAAGCUUUGAGUACAACAGCACUUCUGAGAGCCUCCUGGUCAUGUGCAAACCUCCAGGUAGCAGCGAAAGUCAUAGAAAUUAUUUAUUCUCUAGUAAAGAAGUAAUAAAACCCAUUGGACGCUAAAGGGCAAAGUCUUCAGUUAGGCACCUAAAUCCACCUCUUGCUCAAAUGAAUAGCCUGAUUGCCCAGGAGGCCCACACCUCCUGGCAGCGACCCAGCAGGAGCUCAGUACACUCGCUGCUCUGGCCACUUGCCAAGCGCCCAAAGGGAGCUGAACCUCAGGCACCCGGCCUGGAAGGGCCAAGCAUGUCCCACUCCAGCUGUCAGGGUGUCAACCAUGGUUUUGGAGGAGUUACAUUGAAACAGCUCACAUUUUCUAGCGUGUCCCAUGCUUUGUUUCAAACCAGGGUGAGGAAGCCUGAGGAAAGCUCCUGUUUACUGUAGGCUUCCCCUGGCCCAGCCACCUUCCCUGAGCUCACUUGUGGGGAAAGCUCCUGCUUCUAGCGCCGAGCUCUGGGAAGGAAGCAAAGCAGGGCACAACACAAGGAAGAGUGGCUCCAGAACGCAGCGGGGUGGACAUCCUGAGGCCUUGCUUCAGUGCCUGGUAGACACACAGCUGUGCUGUGUGACUAAGGCAAGCCGCUGUGCCUACCCUGAGCAAUUCCUUGCACUGAUGAAGGGGCAGUAAUCCUCCCCUUUCCCCACAAUAACCACCAAGAGCCACGAGGGGAUCAGUGGGGAGAGAUCAGAGAUCUCCAGGGAUCUUUGGUGAGCCAGGUCAUGCUUUACAGCACGGAAGAUGAAGAGCAAGUUCAUGCUCUCCAUCAGCACCUCAGGUGCAGGCUGGCCUGUCGCUUCCAAACAUCUAGCGCCUUUCCAAGGAACUGCCAUCUGUUAACAGAAACUGGUGCAAAGAGACGGAAAUGAACAGAGCAGAGAAAAUCCUCCAUCUAAAUGAGGUUUCUCCCUAAACUACUGGUGGUUGAGCUCCAUGUAAGCCUCAUUUGCCUGCCGGAUGCCUCCAUUCUGGCAGACGCCUCUCGGAUCACCUCUCUCCAACAUAUAUGGCAACACCUCACUUUGUAUGAAAGGCUCCUAUCUUCAUGGACCCAGUGGCAAGACCCAAACAGCUUUAAGUAAUGCUCAAUAAAUAAAAGAAAUAAAUAUUAAAUAACAGGCUAAGUCCUCUCAGCCUUUUCAAUAUAUGUACAAUGCAUAGCAAAAUAACAUUGAUUGGCUAUUGCAGACAACAGUUUGGUACAACUUAAGUCCCCCAAAACAAUAAACAACAUGGAAAAAAGUUGCAAUCAGCAUAAAGUAAAGAACAACCAAGUGCUGUAACCCUUGAAGAAAAGAAGUACACAACAGUGCUUGGAAACAUCCCUUAUCCUUGCUUUUCAGCAAAACUGCAGAGACUGUGCUGGGUUUGCUGGAGCCUGGCCUCAAAGCUUGGUUUGGGAGCGGGGAAACUAGCCUCACUCAGGUAGCAGGACAAGGUAGGGUCCAGCGAGCGGGGAGCACGGCCCCAGUGAUUCCAGUUUCCUGGGGGAUAUUUGAAGCUGAAUGACCAUCUCUGCAGUGCCUGGCAGCCAGGAGAGCAACACCCGACACAGCACGGCUCAGCUCCAUUGGGAGCGCUGGGUUUCAUGCUCCACCGCGGAAAGGCAACCAGGACAAUUCGGGGGAUAGAAACAAGACUGUGGGCAGGAAAGAGUCCUCAUGAACGAGGAAAGAAAAAACCUCCGAGACAGCACUCCCAAAAGACAGCCGAGAUGUUUUCCUGAAGCCUUUUUACUCUCAGUGAGGUUGCAGAUGUCCCUGGGCAUCCCUUGCACUCAGGAGCAGCUGGCCAGCCUCAGGUUAGCAGCGACUUGCCUACACUGAAAUGAGCACAUCGCAUUUCCACCGGAGGAAAGCUGCUCCUUGUGGAGAGCGGCAGCAGCAAUCUAAAAUGCCGGAUGUAGAGCAAAAAUUCCUUAAAAGCAAUGAAUGAGUGAAACAGCAUUAAAAAAAAGAAUAAGAAGGAAAAAAAAAAAAA
Non-coding RNA from Struthio camelus australis, 2503 nucleotides. NCBI's taxonomy places the organism in Eukaryota, Metazoa, Chordata, Aves, Struthioniformes, Struthionidae. The record is from RefSeq and is a predicted model, not a curated record.